This 1017-nucleotide long non-coding RNA is filed under the name Olea europaea subsp. europaea. Lineage: Eukaryota; Viridiplantae; Streptophyta; Magnoliopsida; Lamiales; Oleaceae. The record is from RNAcentral.
GAAUUACCAACUCAACCAUAGUCCUUAAAUUUUUAAAAAAUUACAAAGAAAUCAUAAAUUCUCAAUCGCUACCACUUUCACAACCUAUCAAGCUGCCACCUAUAGAUCCACAUAGCACCACCUUUCUGCCACCAUGCCCAACGGACUCCACCACCAUCCUCUUACACAGGAAUUUGAAAGAUUGGAGUACUAAGGACCCACCAAUUUUGGUUCUCUCAUCGUGAAUCGCACCCGUAAGAGUUUUGGACCAAAAAUUGAAACGGUUGAGGGGAUAAUUUGUUCAAUUAAAUUCAUAUACAUUGUCGCUUGGGUUUGUUGAUUUUUCGAUUGAUGUCAAUUUCGGAAAUUAGUGUUGCGGGAUGCAUGAAUUGAAGGAGAAGAUUUUGGCAAAAUACGUCGCGCACUGUCGAAUGUUCUAGAAUUACAACAAAAUGAUUUGAGGUAGUUUUGAAUGAUGUGAGGCCAAGUAUAGAUUCGUCGAGGCGAGGUGUAACCAUCGGUGGUAGUGUGUGACCGUGGGUGGCGCCAAAAGUGAGAUUGUCAUGAAGGGUUGUAUACGACAAUUUGGUAUUUUGGGCUAUAAAUGUGGUUGUUUUGGAUAGAUUGGUGACCAAUACUAUGGAGGAUGAUACUGGGGAGAGUGAGGCGAGGCUGGUGGUUGUAGAGUCUGAUGGGUGUUGUGGUCGAAAGAUGGUGCUAUAUAGAUCUAUAUGUGGCGGCUUAGUGGGGUUGUGAAAGUGGUGGUAGUGGAGAAUUUAGAACUUAUCUGUAAUAUUUUGAAAGAUCCAGGACUAUGAUUACAAUUAGUUAUUUAUUUUUCUUUUCUUUUCUUUUUGUUUUAUUUGAAUAGGAGGGUAAAAUCAUUAUUUUAUUGGAAAAAAAGGAUAAAAAUGACUUUUUUAGCAAUGAAAUGUGAAAGAUAAGGGUGAAAAUCUCAAAAAAUAAAAGAUAUGGAUGUUUUGCACAAUAACAUUGAAAGGUAUGACAUUUUUUACAGCCCAAGAACAAUUAACCAAG